AGUGGCGGACGGGUGAGUAACGCGUGGGAAUAUGCCCUAUGGUGCGGAACAACCGAGGGAAACUUCAGCUAAUACCGCAUGUGCCCUACGGGGGAAAGAUUUAUCGCCAUAGGAGUAGCCCGCGUUGGAUUAGCUAGUUGGUGGGGUAAUGGCUCACCAAGGCUACGAUCCAUAGCUGGUCUGAGAGGAUGAUCAGCCACACUGGGACUGAGACACGGCCCAGACACCUACGGGAGGCAGCAGUAGGGAAUCUUGCGCAAUGGGCGAAAGCCUGACGCAGCCAUGCCGCGUGAAUGAUGAAGGUCUUAGGAUUGUAAAAUUCUUUCACCGGGGACGAUAAUGACGGUACCCGGAGAAGAAGCUCCGGCUAACUUCGUGCCAGCAGCCGCGGUAAUACGAAGGGGGCUAGCGUUGCUCGGAAUUACUGGGCGUAAAGGGCGCGUAGGCGGACAGUUUAGUCAGAGGUGAAAGCCCAGGGCUCAACCUUGGAAUAGCCUUUGAUACUGGCUGUCUUGAGUACGGGAGAGGUGUGUGGAACUCCGAGUGUAGAGGUGAAAUUCGUAGAUAUUCGGAAGAACACCAGUGGCGAAGGCGACACACUGGCCCGUUACUGACGCUGAGGCGCGAAAGCGUGGGGAGCAAACAGGAUUAGAUACCCUGGUAGUCCACGCUGUAAACGAUGAGUGCUAGUUGUC
RNAcentral lists this ribosomal RNA (695 nucleotides) under uncultured Phenylobacterium sp. RNAcentral describes it as "bacterial SSU rRNA". It matches the Rfam family "Bacterial small subunit ribosomal RNA", at positions 94 to 824 of the family's 1533-position model. Lineage: Bacteria; Pseudomonadati; Pseudomonadota; Alphaproteobacteria; Caulobacterales; Caulobacteraceae. The record is from RNAcentral.